CAGUAGCCGCGGUAAUACGAAGGGGGCAAGCGUUGUUCGGAUUUACUGGGCGUAAAGCGUACGUAGGCGGAUAUUUAAGUCAGGGGUGAAAUCCCGAGGCUCAACCUCGGAACUGCCUUUGAUACUGGGUAUCUUGAGUGCAGAAGAGGAGAGUGGAAUUCCGAGUGUAGAGGUGAAAUUCGUAGAUAUUCGGAGGAACACCAGUGGCGAAGGCGGCUCACUGGCUCGAUACUGACGCUGAGGUGCGAAAGCGUGGGGAGCAAACAGGAUUAGAUACCCGUGUAGUCCCUGUCUCUUAUAC
RNAcentral lists this ribosomal RNA (301 nucleotides) under uncultured bacterium. RNAcentral describes it as "partial 16S ribosomal RNA". It matches the Rfam family "Bacterial small subunit ribosomal RNA", at positions 509 to 807 of the family's 1533-position model. The record is from RNAcentral.